CAUGCAAGUCGAGCGGAUGAAAGUAGCUUGCUACUGGAUUCAGCGGCGGACGGGUGAGUAAUGCUUAGGAAUCUGCCUAUUAGUGGGGGACAACGUUCCGAAAGGAGCGCUAAUACCGCAUACGUCCUACGGGAGAAAGCAGGGGACCUUCGGGCCUUGCGCUAAUAGAUGAGCCUAAGUCGGAUUAGCUAGUUGGUAGGGUAAAGGCCUACCAAGGCGACGAUCUGUAGCGGGUCUGAGAGGAUGAUCCGCCACACUGGGACUGAGACACGGCCCAGACUCCUACGGGAGGCAGCAGUGGGGAAUAUUGGACAAUGGGGGGAACCCUGAUCCAGCCAUGCCGCGUGUGUGAAGAAGGCCUUUUGGUUGUAAAGCACUUUAAGCGAGGAGGAGGCUACCUAGAUUAAUACUUUAGGAUAGUGGACGUUACUCGCAGAAUAAGCACCGGCUAA
Molecule: ribosomal RNA, 452 nt
Filed under: Acinetobacter radioresistens
Lineage: Bacteria; Pseudomonadati; Pseudomonadota; Gammaproteobacteria; Moraxellales; Moraxellaceae
Description: bacterial SSU rRNA
Rfam family: Bacterial small subunit ribosomal RNA
Source: RNAcentral